RNAcentral lists this transfer RNA (72 nucleotides) under Vicugna pacos (alpaca). It matches the Rfam family "tRNA". Rfam says of the family: Transfer RNA (tRNA) molecules are approximately 80 nucleotides in length. Their secondary structure includes four short double-helical elements and three loops (D, anti-codon, and T loops). Further hydrogen bonds mediate the characteristic L-shaped molecular structure. tRNAs have two regions of fundamental functional importance: the anti-codon, which is responsible for specific mRNA codon recognition, and the 3' end, to which the tRNAs corresponding amino acid is attached (by aminoacyl-tRNA synthetases). tRNAs cope with the degeneracy of the genetic code in two manners: having more than one tRNA (with a specific anti-codon) for a particular amino acid; and 'wobble' base-pairing, i.e. permitting non-standard base-pairing at the 3rd anti-codon position. RNAcentral also lists the same sequence under 1 other name. The record is from Rfam by way of RNAcentral. Lineage: Eukaryota; Metazoa; Chordata; Mammalia; Artiodactyla; Camelidae.
GGGUGUAUAGCUCAGUGGUAGAGUGCAUGCUUAGCAUGCACAAGGUCCGGGGUUUGAUCCCCAGUACCUCCU